This 29-nucleotide non-coding RNA is filed under the name Mus musculus (house mouse). Lineage: Eukaryota; Metazoa; Chordata; Mammalia; Rodentia; Muridae. The record is from RNAcentral.
UAAAAAAAAAAUGGUGCUAANUCCCAUGC